RNAcentral lists this ribosomal RNA (450 nucleotides) under uncultured bacterium. Its description in RNAcentral is "partial 16S ribosomal RNA". It matches the Rfam family "Bacterial small subunit ribosomal RNA", at positions 354 to 796 of the family's 1533-position model. The record is from RNAcentral.
GUGGGGAAUAUUGCACAAUGGGGGAAACCCUGAUGCAGCCAUGCCGCGUGUGUGAAGAAGGCCUUCGGGUUGUAAAGCACUUUCAGUGGGGAGGAAGGGCUGAUGACUAAUAUUCAUCAGUAUUGACGUUACCCACAGAAGAAGCACCGGCUAACUCCGUGCCAGCAGCCGCGGUAAUACGGAGGGUGCAAGCGUUAAUCGGAAUAACUGGGCGUAAAGCGCACGCAGGCGGUCAGAUAAGUCAGAUGUGAAAGCCCCGGGCUCAACCUGGGAACUGCAUUUGAAACUGUCUGACUAGAGUCGUGUAGAGGGGGGUAGAAUUCCAGGUGUAGCGGUGAAAUGCGUAGAGAUCUGGAGGAAUACCGGUGGCGAAGGCGGCCCCCUGGACAAAGACUGACGCUCAGGUGCGAAAGCGUGGGGAGCAAACAGGAUUAGAUACCCGUGUAGUCC